Molecule: ribosomal RNA, 251 nt
Filed under: uncultured bacterium
Lineage: Bacteria
Description: partial 16S ribosomal RNA
Rfam family: Bacterial small subunit ribosomal RNA
Source: RNAcentral
AUUGCUUGCAAUUAUAAGAGGAUAGCGGCGAACGGGUGAGUAACAUGUUGGAAUCUGCCCCCAAGUCAGGGAUAGCCCAUUGAAAAGUGGAUUAAUACCGGAUAGUCUCUUCGGAGUAAAAAUUUAUUGCUUGGGGAGGAGCCUACAUUCUAUCAGCUAGUUGGUAAGGUAAAAGCUUACCAAGGCUAUGACGGAUAACUGGUCUGAGAGGAUGAUCAGUCACAAUGGAACUGAGACACGGUCCAUACUCC